CGACGAUAGGUAGAUAAACAAGGGAACCAACUUUUGUAAUUUAUUUGCAGAUGGAAACUAUAAGAAUGCUGGCUAUUAUGCUGCUAAUUAUGACUAAUGGUACAGCUGUAUUGCUGCCCAUAGGAGCUGAAUGUUCCCAGGGUAUGCGAUUUCUACACAGUUCCUGUAAUCAGAGUGCAAGAGCAUCUCCCCUCUCUGUACUCACCAUAUCCGAGCACAACAUUAUGUUAACUAAAUCAACUAGCUUAAAAAAAAUCUGAGGAGGAGGAAUUGCUCCAAAACUUAAGUAUUGAAGAAUAUACUCAAAUAAGGCAAGGUGCGCUCUGCGACCCGGCGGACUCAGAGGAGAGCGAUCAACCCGAUCAGUGCUCUUUCCUGGGAACUGGCCGAGGGCAUGCCUGUCGCUGUGAGAGAAGACCUUGAAAUUAAUUUUCUUCUCUUCUCUCCCUCCUCCCUUCUCUAUGUUCGUACAGUAAACAUAAUAUGAAAUUUUUGUAUACAAUUC
Molecule: long non-coding RNA, 505 nt
Filed under: Androctonus crassicauda
Lineage: Eukaryota; Metazoa; Arthropoda; Arachnida; Scorpiones; Buthidae
Source: RNAcentral